RNAcentral lists this ribosomal RNA (763 nucleotides) under [Candida] tunisiensis. RNAcentral's name for it is "partial 12S ribosomal RNA". It matches the Rfam family "Bacterial small subunit ribosomal RNA", at positions 381 to 1207 of the family's 1533-position model. Lineage: Eukaryota; Fungi; Ascomycota; Dipodascomycetes; Dipodascales. The record is from RNAcentral.
GAUUGAACGAGCAACCUUGUAAAGUGAGUAUAAUUUUGAUCAGAUAAAAAUGAAAUUAUAAAUGAAAUUAUAAAGCUUGUAUAAUAAAUAAAAUAAUGAUAUGAUUUAUUAUAAUAGUCUUGACCAAUAUAUGUGCCAGCAGUAGCGGUUAAACAUUGGAGGCUAGCAAUGUACAUUAAGGCUUAAAGUGUUUGUAGCACGGUUAUUUAAAUAAAUUUUAAUAAACUAGAAUUACACAGAAUGAUUAAAGAAUUAUUAGAGUAAUGAUUAAAUAUUAUGAUACUAGUAGGACUGCUAAAGGUGAAGACAUUAAUCAAUAGUGUAAUUGACGUUGAGAAACGAAGGCUAGAGUAGCAAAAAGGAUUAGAGACCCUCCUAGUUUUAGCUGUAAACGAUAAAUGUUAAGAGUUAUCCAUAUUGGAUAAAUUCUAAAGUGAAAACGUUAAACAUUUCGCCAAAGGAGUACGUAUGCAAAUAUGAAACUUAAAACAAUAGGCGGUUUAAGGUACAAGCAGUGGAUCAUGUUAUUUAAUUCGAUAAUCCCCGACUAACCUUACCAAACUUUGAAUAAACCUUAUAUUAAGGAUAUCAACUUCGGUUGAUUAUUUACAGACGCUACAUAGUUGUCUUCAAUUCGUGCCGUAAGGUGUUAGAUUAAGUUCAUUAACGAAUAAAACCCUAAUUGCUUAAUUUUAAAUAAGCAAGAGUAAUUAUAUACUAAUUACGUAGUUAGGAUUAAGACAAAUCAUUAUGGCUCUGAUAG